AGAGUGAAAGAGAUUUCCAUCUGUUGCAGUCACAAAAGAGUCGCCUCUGCUGGUGGGAACAUUUACAUGCUGCUGCAGAAGGAAGAAAACAGCACUCCUGACCUGCAGCAGGAUGUGGUGAGCUGUCUCUUCUACUGGGAGUAAGAGGAAACAGUUUGCAGAAGAAUGGUGGCCCUAAGAAGUGCAGAGUCAUUCAGAUGGCCUAGCGAUUGUGAUUUUGCUCCUUAUCCUCUUGACAACAAAUUCAUUUUUUCAAUACUACACAACACCUGGCAAAUGCAAAAGUAAGAAGAAAGAAAGAGAAAGAGAGAAUGAAAAAGAAAGAAAGGAAGGAAGGAAAAAGAAAGGAAGGAAGGAAGGAAGGAAGGAAGGAAGGAAAUCAAGACAAUGCAUGAUUGUGACAGCUCUCUUUUUAUCAUGACCACAAGAACUACAAAGGAUUACCAGUUACAGAAGUUUCUUAAAUUUUUGCAAAGGACUGGAGAUGCUAAUGAAGGAGUGUUGGAUCAGUUCCACUUGUCUGCAGGAGGCAGUGCCUGAAAUAUUUGAUACUGAAUCUGGGUUUAAAUACUUCUUCAGCCAUAAGGCAAAUGGGAUGACUUUGGGAGAACCACUCAGUUUAUCAAAGCCCUCUAAGGAUAACAAGGGGGUGAGGUUGUGCGCAUUACCCUGAGAUUCCUGGCAACCAAUGUUAAAAUAAAUGAUUACCGCUCCUUCCUCACCUUUUCGAGAAUGUUAUUCCGUGGAUUUAUUUAUGUACUUUUUAAAAAUCUUAAAUACAUCCAGGAACUGAAAUUAUCUGAGCAGAUUACAGGAGGAAUUAAAAUAUUAAAAAGUAGUGAACAAUAUCACAGUAAGAACUAUAUAACACAUUAAUAAGGUUUCCACUGGUGCAGCUGACUCUGUUAGCCAUGGGUGAUCAUAAUGAAAUACUGUGGCAUUGCCAUUUAUUGCAGGCCUUAAGUUUAUAUAUGUAUACACAGCCUUAAAUAAAAGUCCUGCAUGCCUUUCUUUUUCCUUUCAUUAUGAUUUUGUGUGUCUUUAUUUUGUUAUUCGAUUAAAGCUUAAAUAAAUAAAUAA
Crotalus tigris (Tiger rattlesnake) is the source of this 1080-nucleotide long non-coding RNA. RefSeq lists it as uncharacterized. The transcript has 2 exons. The record is from RefSeq and is a predicted model, not a curated record. NCBI's taxonomy places the organism in Eukaryota, Metazoa, Chordata, Lepidosauria, Squamata, Viperidae.